Molecule: ribosomal RNA, 492 nt
Filed under: uncultured bacterium
Lineage: Bacteria
Description: partial 16S ribosomal RNA
Rfam family: Bacterial small subunit ribosomal RNA
Source: RNAcentral
AGUGAACGCUGGCGGUAGGCCUAACACAUGCAAGUCGAACGGCAGCACAGUAAGAGCUUGCUCUUACGGGUGGCGAGUGGCGGACGGGUGAGGAAUACAUCGGAAUCUACUUUUUCGUGGGGGAUAACGUAGGGAAACUUACGCUAAUACCGCAUACGACCUACGGGUGAAAGCAGGGGAUCUUCGGACCUUGCGCGAUUGAAUGAGCCGAUGUCGGAUUAGCUAGUUGGCGGGGUAAAGGCCCACCAAGGCGGCGAUCCGUAGCUGGUCUGAGAGGAUGAUCGGCCACAUGGGAACUGAGACACGGUCCAGACUCCUACGGGAGGGAGCAGUGGGGAAUAUUGGACAACGGGCGCAAGCCUUAUCCAGCCAUACCGCGUGGGUGAAGAAGGCCUUCGGUUUGGAAAGCCCUUUUGUUGGGAAAGAAAAGCAGCAGGUUAAUACCCCGCUGUUCUGACGGUACCCAAAGAAUAAGCACCGGCUAACUUCGUG